RNAcentral lists this ribosomal RNA (346 nucleotides) under uncultured bacterium. RNAcentral's name for it is "partial 16S ribosomal RNA". It matches the Rfam family "Bacterial small subunit ribosomal RNA", at positions 338 to 698 of the family's 1533-position model. The record is from RNAcentral.
CCUACGGGUGGCAGCAGUGGGGAAUAUUGGGCAAUGGGCGCAAGCCUGACCCAGCAAUGCCGCGUGAAGGCAGAAGCCCCACGGGCUGUAAACUUCUUUUCACAGGGACGAAGAAAGUGACGGCACCGGCUGAAUAAGCCACGGCUAACUACGUGCCAGCAUCCGCGGUAAUAAGUAGGUGGCAAGCGUUAUCCGGAUUUACUGGGUGUAAAGGGCGUGUAGGCGGGACAGCAGGUCAGACGUGAAAUACCUGGGCGCAACCUUGGCACUGCCGUUGAAACUGUUCUGCUUGAGUGAAGGGGAGGCAGGCGGAAUGGCGGGUGUAGCGGUGAAAUGCGUAGAUAUA